UUUAACUGAGCGUUCAGUUACUUGACGUAGACCCGAAACCGGGCGACCUACCCAUGAGCAGGAUGAAGCGAAAGUAAAAUUUCGUGGAGGUCCGAACCCACGAGCGUUGAAAAGCUCGGGGAUGACUUGUGGGUAGCGGUGAAAUUCCAAUCGAGCCCGGAGAUAGCUGGUUCUCCCCGAAAUAGCUUUAGGGCUAGCCUCAAGGUGAGAGAUACGGAGGUAGAGCACUGAAUGUCCUAGGGGGUAUUGCACCUACCGAAGACUAUCAAACUCCGAAUGCCGUCAUCUUAUACUUGGGAGUCAGACUGUGGGUGAUAAGAUUCAUAGUCGAAAGGGCAACAGCCCAGAUCGUCAGCUAAGGUCCCUAAAUGUAAGUUAAGUGGUAAAGGAUGUGGGAUUGCACAGACAACCAGGAUGUUGGCUUAGAAGCAGCCACUCAUUCAAAGAGUGCGUAAUAGCUCACUGGUCGAGUGAUCCUGCGCCGAAGAUUUCCGGGGCUAAAACUUACUACCGAAGCUACGGCAUCAGUAAUGAUGGGUAGGGGAGCUUCCCAUACGGGUUGAAGCAUGACCGUAAGGACAUGUGGACAGUAUGGGAGUGAGAAUGUUGGCAUGAGUAGCGAGAUGUGGGUGAGAAUCCCACAGGCCGUAAACCCAAGGUUUCCAGGGGAAGGUUCGUCCGCCCUGGGUUAGUCGGGACCUAAGCUGAGGCCGAAAGGCGUAGGUGAUGGACAACAGGUUGAUAUUCCUGUACUACCGAUAACCGUUUGAGAGAUGGGAUGACACAGUAGGAUAAGCUAAGCACACUGUUGGUUAUGUGUGCCCAAGCAUUGAGGCAGU
RNAcentral lists this ribosomal RNA (839 nucleotides) under Clostridioides difficile. RNAcentral describes it as "partial 23S ribosomal RNA". It matches the Rfam family "Bacterial large subunit ribosomal RNA", at positions 683 to 1528 of the family's 2925-position model. The record is from RNAcentral. Lineage: Bacteria; Bacillati; Bacillota; Clostridia; Peptostreptococcales; Peptostreptococcaceae.